Molecule: long non-coding RNA, 1504 nt
Organism: Nasonia vitripennis (jewel wasp)
Lineage: Eukaryota; Metazoa; Arthropoda; Insecta; Hymenoptera; Pteromalidae
Exons: 3
Source: RefSeq, a predicted model, not a curated record
UAAAUGUAUUUAUUUAUUGCAUUGCUUCUCAAUACUGUUUACGGGUUUAAUCACAUACGUACAUUGAUCUAUAACUAUUUCCAACAAAAUCUGUUAAAUAUUUUCAACUGGAACUGCACUUUGUACAUAUAAAUUUGUAUUCCGCAUACAUAAAUACAUAAAAGAUACUGAUGAUUCGUGCAUCAAAUCGAAUUCAAAAGCGGGCUCAAAAUUGGUAGGCUGGCGAUGCUCUGGAGAACUCAUGUUUUUAUUUUCAGACAAUUCAUCCUCAGCGCUGGAUCGUGACCUUUGAUUUAGCGAGGAGUUGUAAUCGCGACUUCGCUCAUUUUCGCUCUCUACACUUGACGAAUCAGAAUUUUCGUCAUUUAAACGAAAUUUUUUUGUAGUCUGUACUGUGCCUAUUUUCUAUACUUUAAAAAACUGUUUACUCUUUUAUUCGGUAUAAUGCGAAUGUGUAAAUGCAAACAUGGUUAUAGGUUACGAAAACAUUCGAUGAACACGCUUUGACAUUUGCGUUCAAGUUUUUUUGUUUUUCGCGUAAAAUUGACUCUUUUCUUACGAAAUUUUCGAACACACUUUUUUCAUUGCAACAUUGACGCUGCAGAUAAAUUAACCUUUUAUUUGUGAUCGGUGUUGCUCAUAACGACUAGUGAAAAAUAAAAGAUUUGCAGUGCUUGACAUAAACAUGAGUUCUGAGUUAUGCCAUUUGGUACUGUGGAUCACAGGGGAUCCUCCAACAACGAGCAUCUUGAAAGAUCGCGAGGUAAAGCUUGGUAAGAAGAAAGUGACGGCUAAAUGGGGCUCGAAGUAGUACGAAAACUUUUAUAUCACCUCGAGAAUUACGGAGGAAGUACGGAGGAAGUAAUGAAACUGAUUAUCAGGCAGAAAUAAUUAAAAACAAUGACGCCAACUGGAAAAGCAGGAAGUAAAAGUAUUUCAAAAUACAUUUUUGAAGUUGUUUUUGUUUAUGUUAACAACAAAGUUCCUGGCGAUGGCAAAAAAUAUCAUUGAAGGAAUACGCACGAGUUUUAACAUUAACGUGCAAUACUCUUUGAAAUCCGAAAAAACACCAGUCUGUUGCAAAAAGACGAAGAAUGUAGUUGCAUAUUUAUAAAAUCAAAUAGUUUCAUGGUUAUAGAAUACUUAUACAUUAUCAUGUUUUCAUGUUUAGUAGUUCAUUUAUCAUUUUUGCCGAAUCGCUUAAAAAUAGCGUUUCAUCUAGCAAAAAUAUGUAAGUAACACUAUGAAAAGAAAAAAUAUCUGUCAAUUAAUAGUAUCGCGUUUAGUAUAGCGACGGAUCUGGCUUUUAAUUAACGCGAACAAAAAUAGUAUGACGUUUAGUAUGGCGAUUAAGCCAUUAACACUAAAAAAAUAAGUUCGCAUUUAGUAUGGCGAUUGAUCUGGCUGUAUAAUUAACACAAAAAAAAACUAGUAUGGCAUAGUGGCAUUUUCCAUACAUUCGGCAUACGUUUGCAAUACUUUUUGGAGUCAUACUUACGCCAUA